RNAcentral lists this long non-coding RNA (814 nucleotides) under Zea mays. RNAcentral's name for it is "long non-coding RNA (ZMAY_LNC002496)". The record is from RNAcentral. Lineage: Eukaryota; Viridiplantae; Streptophyta; Magnoliopsida; Poales; Poaceae.
AAAAUAGAGCUAUGUACCAGCCUUAGAAAAUGAAAAUCAGCCACCAGACAACAGUUUCAAGUUCCAUGUUCUUUCAUAUUUUCUCAAUAUAGAGGAAUUGAUAAUAAUGAGCAAAUACAUACUGUCAUGCAGAACACCCUGCACCCUUCGUAACCUCAAGUAAAAAAGAAGGAAAAGAAAGAACUAUCAGUAAUCAAAAUGUGCCCUCAAUUACAAUUUGUAUGCGGCCAAUUUAACAUGUGCCUUUUUUAUAUAUGAAAAAUGGCCAACCUGAACAUCCUAUUGUACGAUCUAUGUCAUGAAACAAAAUCUAAAACUUAAUUAGGCUUUUUUGUUGCAGUAUUAUCUUUCUAUAGUACAACCUAAUUUUACACAAAUUAGAUUGAGAUAUCUUACACUUACAAGACAGUGAGCCCUCAGUGUGUAGUAAUCAGGGAUAUAUCACACAAAGCAGGGAUCAAGGAUAUAUCACACAUCCCUCAGUGUAUACUUGCAUACAAAGCUGGAAUAUUUCAGUGUGGAAAGGGCCCUCAGCUAAUUUAUUUUCAUCAAGUGAUCUAGUAUCUAGCUCAAUAAUUUUCCUUAUAGCAUCACAGGGCAAAUUAGGUACAUCACCUCUUUUGAUCAAAAGGAACAUCACAAAUCAGUUAUCAGGGCACAAUUACAUGUCAGGGCAACCAUCAGUGCACACACCACAUAUGCAGUCGAGCUCUUUCUGUCAAAUGUAUAGUUCAGCUCUUUCACAAAGACAACUCCCACAUAUAUCACACAUCCCUCAGUGUGUAGUAACCCUCAACACAUAUGCAGUCAUCAG